CGCUGGCGGCGUGCCUAAUACAUGCAAGUCGAGCGGACAGAUGGGAGCUUGCUCCCUGAUGUUAGCGGCGGACGGGUGAGUAACACGUGGGUAACCUGCCUGUAAGACUGGGAUAACUCCGGGAACCGGGGCUAAUACCGGAUGGUUGUUUGAACCGCAUGGUUCAAACAUAAAAGGUGGCUUCGGCUACCACUUACAGAUGGACCCGCGGCGCAUUAGCUAGUUGGUGAGGUAACGGCUCACCAAGGCAACGAUGCGUAGCCGACCUGAGAGGGUGAUCGGCCACACUGGGACUGAGACACGGCCCAGACUCUUACGGGAGGCAGCAGUAGGGAAUCUUCCGCAAUGGACGAAAGUCUGACGGAGCAACGCCGCGUGAGUGAUGAAGGUUUUCGGAUCGUAAAGCUCUGUUGUUAGGGAAGAACAAGUACCGUUCGAAUAGGGCGGUACCUUGACGGUACCUAACCAGAAAGCCACGGCUAACUACGUGCCAGCAGCCGCGGUAAUACGUAGGUGGCAAGCGUUGUCCGGAAUUAUUGGGCGUAAAGGGCUCGCAGGCGGUUUCUUAAGUCUGAUGUGAAAGCCCCCGGCUCAACCGGGGAGGGUCAUUGGAAACUGGGGAACUUGAGUGCAGAAGAGGAGAGUGGAAUUCCACGUGUAGCGGUGAAAUGCGUAGAGAUGUGGAGGAACACCAGUGGCGAAGGCGACUCUCUGGUCUGUAACUGACGCUGAGGAGCGAAAGCGUGGGGAGCGAACAGGAUUAGAUACCCUGGUAGUCCACGCCGUAAACGAUGAGUGCUAAGUGUUAGGGGGUUUCCGCCCCUUAGUGCUGCAGCUAACGCAUUAAGCACUCCGCCUGGGGAGUACGGUCGCAAGACUGAAACUCAAAGGAAUUGACGGGGGCCCGCACAGCGGUGGAGCAUGUGGUUUAAUUCGAAGCAACGCGAAGAACCUUACCAGGUCUUGACAUCCUCUGACAAUCCUAGAGAUAGGACGUCCCCUUCGGGGGCAGAGUGACAGGUGUUGCAUGGUUGUCGUCAGCUCGUGUCGUGAGAUGUUGGGUUAAGUCCCGCAACGAGCGCAACCCUUGAUCUUAGUUGCCAGCAUUCAGUUGGGCACUCUAAGGUGACUGCCGGUGACAAACCGGAGGAAGGUGGGGAUGACGUCAAAUCAUCAUGCCCCUUAUGACCUGGGCUACACACGUGCUACAAUGGACAGAACAAAGGGCAGCGAAACCGCGAGGUUAAGCCAAUCCCACAAAUCUGUUCUCAGUUCGGAUCGCAGUCUGCAACUCGACUGCGUGAAGCUGGAAUCGCUAGUAAUCGCGGAUCAGCAUGCCGCGGUGAAUACGUUCCCGGGCCUUGUACACACCGCCCGUCACACCACGAGAGUUUGUAACACCCGAAGUCGGCGAGGUAACCUUUUAGGAGCCAGCCGCCGAAGGUGGGACAGAUGAUCGGGGUGAAGUCGUAACAAGGUAGCCGUAUCGGAGGGUGCGGCUG
This 1502-nucleotide ribosomal RNA is filed under the name metagenome. Its description in RNAcentral is "bacterial SSU rRNA". It matches the Rfam family "Bacterial small subunit ribosomal RNA". The record is from RNAcentral.